Molecule: ribosomal RNA, 560 nt
Filed under: uncultured Nitrosopumilales archaeon
Lineage: Archaea; Thermoproteati; Nitrososphaerota; Nitrososphaeria; Nitrosopumilales
Description: bacterial SSU rRNA
Rfam family: Archaeal small subunit ribosomal RNA
Source: RNAcentral
GGCCCUAUGGGGCGCAGCAGGCGAGAAAACUUUGCAAUGUGCGAAAGCACGACAAGGUUAAUCCGAGUGAUUUCUGCUAAAGAAAUCUUUUGCAAGUCAUAAAACCACUGGUGAAUAAGGGGUGGGCAAGUUCUGGUGUCAGCCGCCGCGGUAAAACCAGCACCUCAAGCGGUCAGGAUGAUUAUUGGGCCUAAAGCAUCCGUAGCCGGCUCUGUAAGUUUUCGGUUAAAUCCAUGUGCUCAACGCAUGGGCUGCCGAAAAUACUGCGCAGCUAGGGAGUGGGAGAGGUAGACGGUACUCAGUAGGAAGGGGUAAAAUCCUUUGAUCUAUUGAUGACCACCUGUGGCGAAGGCGGUCUACCAGAACACGUUCGACGGUGAGGGACGAAAGCUGGGAGAGCAAACCGGAUUAGAUACCCGGGUAGUCCCAGCUGUAAACGAUGCAGACUCGAUGAUGCAUUGGCAUAAUAGCCAGUGCAGUGUCGCAGGGAAGCCGUUAAGUCUGCCGCCUGGGAAGUACGUACGCAAGUAUGAAACUUAAAGGAAUUGGCGGGGGAGCAC